RNAcentral lists this ribosomal RNA (253 nucleotides) under uncultured bacterium. RNAcentral describes it as "partial 16S ribosomal RNA". It matches the Rfam family "Bacterial small subunit ribosomal RNA", at positions 524 to 776 of the family's 1533-position model. The record is from RNAcentral.
UACGUAGGGGGCAAGCGUUAUCCGGAUUCACUGGGCGUAAAGGGAGCGCAGGCGGCAUGGCAAGUCUGAUGUGAAAACCCGGGGCCCAACCCCGGGAGUGCAUUGGAAACUGCCAGGCUGGAGUGUCGGAGGGGUAAGCGGAAUUCCUAGUGUAGCGGUGAAAUGCGUAGAUAUUAGGAGGAACACCAGUGGCAAAGGCGGCUUACUGGACGACUACUGACGCUGAGGCUCGAAAGCGUGGGGAGCAAACAGG